Long non-coding RNA from Equus quagga, 535 nucleotides. RefSeq lists it as uncharacterized. NCBI's taxonomy places the organism in Eukaryota, Metazoa, Chordata, Mammalia, Perissodactyla, Equidae. The transcript is spliced from 2 exons. The record is from RefSeq and is a predicted model, not a curated record.
CCUGAAAGAGCUCUAGAUCAGAGUCUCAAACUGCCAUUAGUUCUUUCUGAGACCUGGAGUCAGGUCAAUUAAGCCCCCAACCCAAAUUUUCCGUCUGUCACAUGGGAAUGAUAAUAAUAGAAGCUCUUGUCUCAGCGUUGUGUGAAAAAGAGGAAGCUCUGGAGCAGUGCAAGGUGCUUCUGUUCUCCUGCUGGAAAGAUCCUGGGAUCCGAGCCUACUACUCAUAACAUAUCUCAAACAGAUUUUUAUUUUUUAAAAAAGAAGAAAGAAAGAAGGAAAGACAAGAGGGAAAGAAAGCAAGCUUUUAUUGAAUAUCAAUAUGUCCAUCCACGUUGUCGCAAACACUUGGAUUUUCUUUCUUGGCCCUACACAGCAACUCACUGCGACGACGUCAUGGAAGAACAGCCUCCUUGGGCAUCCAGGAUACAGUGGAGAUGAAAUGGACUCAGAGGAGUGGAUCAAGCUGACUCUGGGACCACACUGCCUUUGGCCUUCCUAUUGUAUGAAUCAAUAAAUUUCCUAAUCAUUUAAGCCA